This is an RNA transcript of Dendronephthya gigantea, 1707 nucleotides long. It is a transcript of the gene named mitochondrial ornithine transporter 1-like, with no coding region annotated. The transcript has 7 exons. The record is from RefSeq and is a predicted model, not a curated record. NCBI's taxonomy places the organism in Eukaryota, Metazoa, Cnidaria, Anthozoa, Malacalcyonacea, Nephtheidae.
GCAUAAUAAGAAAAGAGAAUGAUGAAACAUAACGGGGUUUGAAUCACCAUCAUUUGUGCUCUGGUGGUGUAAAGACUGAAUUAACAUCAAGUCUGAUAAGAUGAAUGAAAGCGGUAUUGAGGGGCGUGAAACAGCGUCACUAGAACUCAAUCAGGAAGAAAUGUCUGAAGUAAAAGUUUUAGAUUAUCGUGCAAUGAUAGUUGAUACUAUUGCUGGAGCCAAUGCUGGGACAGCCUGUGUCUUUGCUGGUCAACCUUUUGAUACAGUAAAGGUUAAGAUGCAAGUGUUUCCUAAUCUUUAUAAAAAUGCGUUUGAAUGCUUUAAACGAACAUUAAAGGAAGAAAGGUUUCGUGGUCUAUAUGCAGGGACUGGACCAGCACUUGUCACUCAGAUAGCUGAGAAUUCCAUCCUUUUUCUUUGUUAUGGUCGAUGUCAAACAAUUAUUCAAAGUAUUUUUCAAGUUCCACAUGUUGAUGACCUUAGUGUAUUUCAAAAUGCAUGUGCCGGUAGUGUUGCUGCUUUUAUUACGUCAUUUGCAUUGUGUCCAACUGAAUUGAUCAAAUGUAAAUUGCAAGCCCAACAUCAAAUGAGGCAGAGGGGUGGUGAUAAUGGCAAGAAACCUCUAGGUGGUCUUGCACUAACAGCCCAAAUCAUUAGAAAUGAAGGACCCCUGGGCUUAUAUCGUGGUUUUGUGAGUACGUGUACGCGAGAAGUUGGCGGAUAUUUCUUCUUUUUUGGUGGUUAUCAAUUAAGCAAACGUCUUCUAACACCGGAGGGAAAAACAGUUGAUGACUUAGGUCCUCUAGAAGUUGCUAUAUCAGGAGGAAUCGCAGGAGCAUGUUUCUGGGCGUCUGUUUUUCCUACAGACGUCGUAAAAUCUAGAGUUCAGACUGGUAGCAAUGACAGUGGUUAUCCAAAAGGAUUUUUGAGUCUAACCUACUCUAUUUUUAAAAAGGAAGGUAUUCGAGCAUUAUAUAAAGGUCUUGGCCCGGCUAUUGUACGAUGUUUCCCAGCGAAUGCAGCUUUAUUCUUAGCAUAUGAAGGAACAGAACGGUUACUAAAGCCAAACAAAUCUGCGUGAAGAUUAUUAAUUGCCUGAAAAGUCAAGUGCAGUAAGUAUUACUUGAGAUACAAAGUAAAAUAUUCGAUAUUGUUAGUGUCGCUAUGUGGGUGUCAUACACUCCCUGCUGCAUUCCGGAUGUGGCAAUUUAUUCGCACUAUGGUGAAAAGAUAAAAGGACAAUUUACUACAGAUCAAGCCAUUCGCCAGAAGAUAGUUGUGCUUGAGUCAUCCUUCAAGGAUCAAAAAGUUGCACAUAACAGACUGGAAGAAAUCGGACAGUAAACAUUUUAAUAAUGAAGAAAAUUCACGUACAGACGACUUUCUUUCUUAUUCUUAUCCUCGUCACCGUUGCCUCGCCAGCAAGUACGAGCUGUCAACAAAAAAAGUUACGCUGUCAAACGGAUUCGUUAGCUUGCCUCAAGGUCUGCACACAGUUAGCACAAUGCGAGGCAUGCCAGAAAACCUAUAAGCAAUGUUCAACAAUGUGCAAGACCACGAAAAAGCAUUCGAAGAAACAGAAUAUAAAAAAGAUCAAGCGUAAAAUAAAAAAGUUAUUGAAACUGUUGUGACUUGUUCAUUGACUUCACUAGUGAAAAUAGUGCUGAAAAUAUUAUAUGGUAGUAGAAAAUCACAUGCAACAGCAGG